GUGUAAGGACAGUUUGGCUGCAACAUCUCCCACCCCUGCAUUGUCUCCCAUCGCCCACACUGUCAGACUGCUCUGAGACAACUAAGUGGGUGUCCCUUCUUCCCUUUCUCUUCAGUACACAUCCCUUCCAAAGCUGCCUGUGUAGUCAGAGAGAUGAUCUUUCCAAAUACUAGAAAGCCGUUCUUUGCUGAAGGGUAUAUAUGUAGCUGAAUUCCUCUGCUGGAGUUCCACAAAAGCUCUCAUGUUCAACUGUCUCACAGUUUACAAAGACACCAAAAUCAGCCUAUCCUAAGCUGAACUCACAAUCUUUA
Molecule: small nuclear RNA, 311 nt
Filed under: Jaculus jaculus (lesser Egyptian jerboa)
Lineage: Eukaryota; Metazoa; Chordata; Mammalia; Rodentia; Dipodidae
Description: 7SK RNA (ENSJJAG00000006942.1)
Rfam family: 7SK RNA
About the family: 7SK was discovered as an abundant small nuclear RNA in the mid-70s but a possible function has only recently been suggested. Two independent studies have found that 7SK RNA binds the CDK9/cyclin T complex (known as elongation factor P-TEFb).
Source: Rfam by way of RNAcentral